CAGUCACCCUGCAAGAGGGGGGUGGGUCAUUCUACAUCCCUUUCUAUGGCUGAGCGCAGCCACCAUAUGCAGGUGCCUCCAGAAAUUUUCAAAGAAAAAAUUGCAAAAAAGGAAGAAAAAAAACAUGUCACAAGAGCUAGACAACUACGACACGUGGGAGAGAAAAGAUGGAGCUUCGAUAAAGGUAUUCAUUGUUGUUACGCACCAAACACUCCUGUGUUCUUAUUUUGUGCUUUGCUUUUGCUUUUGGCUUCUUCCAGCUGAUCCACUGCUUUAAGCAGGUGAAUGUGUUUUGUAAAUGUUGACUUCUGUCAGACAAGAACUCUUGGACAAAAUUAGAGGAAUGCUGCUGUGUUCAACAUUUUAUCAAUCACCUUGAAGAUAAACUAUAGCCGACCAGAUAAAUAGCUACAAGAGUCUUGCACAUGGUGGCCCUUGUUGGCUAAACUGCUACUGUAAGCCACACAAACACUGGAAGUCACAUCGCACAUUCACAACAAUCAAAGGCUAAGCACGCCAUACAUAAAAAGUCCAUAACAGCACGGCUAAAUUAAUCAUUUGAACACCACAUUUUCAUUCACACAUUCCUGUAUGUUUUGCACUUGCAGAAUUUAUAGUAUUCAGCUGUAUUAAUAAAGAAUGGCAUGUAACUGUUUAAAAUUGACGUUGAUUUUUGAGUAGUGAGGACGUGGGGAGAGGAAUGUUUGUCCAGAGAGAGCUGAGAUGGUUAAGAAGAGAAAAAAUGAGAAAAUAAAUUAUUUUUUUCUUUAAUUGUCAGGAAUCAAGCGGUGUGUGCGUGCAUGUUCAUUCAUUCACACCUGUGUUGCGUGCUGUAUGUUUAUGAGCGCUCUGUAAUGAUAGAUUGACAAGCUGCUCCCGCUGGGCUGCGGCACCUCUGACCCUUGACCUUGAAAUCUCCAGUCUGGUUUAAUGAUCCAGUCCUCUCACACCCAUCCAGGAAUAUGUUACCGUGGAAACAUAGCCUUUUCCCCCCACUCAUAAUGCAGGAGAGUUCUCCAUCCGUGUCUAAUUCAGUCUCAAGCCAAGUCGGUGACCUCUGAAGAGAUGUUUGCAGUCUGAUCAGUAUAUCCACAGAUGCGCUGCUUGUGUCCCAGAAGCUGCUGUCAGGAUUUCAGGUUAAAUACUACAGUUAAUAUUGGCGGGAAUGACCUAUGCAGAGAUAAUCUCAUGCCAUCCGGCACAAUCCUUCAGAAAACAUCUGAAUUACAUUGUUAAAAUAACUCAGAUACAC
Molecule: long non-coding RNA, 1252 nt
Filed under: Oreochromis niloticus (Nile tilapia)
Lineage: Eukaryota; Metazoa; Chordata; Actinopteri; Cichliformes; Cichlidae
Description: lncRNA (ENSONIG00000032284.1)
Source: RNAcentral